RNAcentral lists this long non-coding RNA (8823 nucleotides) under Ananas comosus (pineapple). Its description in RNAcentral is "long non-coding RNA (ACOM_LNC037739)". The record is from RNAcentral. Lineage: Eukaryota; Viridiplantae; Streptophyta; Magnoliopsida; Poales; Bromeliaceae.
GUGUCACGCCCCAGACCGCACCACCCGAAAACGGUACCAAUUUGGUCCGAUUCGAGGGCGGCGUGCGCGACCGCCGAACGGACAGAGUCUCCCCUGUCCGCCCAAGGCUAAGCAACGGAUUGUGUACAACAAGUCCCCAGGAAGAACAACUUGCAUUCAUACACAAUCAACAACGAAACGAAAGCACAAACAGUGCUAUAACCAACUAGAGCAAGCGAUACAAGUAAAAUCAUACAAGUAUACAAAAGAGAGAAACUUAACUAUUUAAACCAUAAUUGAAACAUUUAACCUCUUUCGAUAACAUUUUAAACUUUAAUCAUUUAAUACAACUUGCAUUUUUUUCUCAAAUGAAUAUACAUCGUGAACUCUCCAAAACCUCACACUAUACAACAUCUACUCUCAAAACAUAACCAAAAGUACAGGGUAUAGAGCUAAUGCAAGUAGGUAAGGUAGGCUAUCUACCAAAAGCUAGGGCGCUAUGCCCUUACCACGAUCCAUCGCCGAAGGCCCGCUGUCCAGUGUACCUGUACCCCCAAAGCUACACGGGGGUGAGAACUACGAAUAGUUCCCAGUGGGUUCGGCCGCCGACUCCGCCGAUCUACCCACUAGGUCUCAAGCAGGCAUAGAGAGAUAUAUAUGCAAUAUAUGUAAAACUGAGCUAAACUGAAAGCAGUAUGUAACAACUAUAUCAAGCUAUGCCUCAAUCUGGAAUCAUGAAUGCAUGAACAAAUAAUAGAGCUGGGUAAGUAAGCAACUAUCAACAUCUACAACAGCUAUCAUAGUGAGCUAUAAACAUGCUACUAGGUAGGCAAACAAGCUGAUAUGAACAAUAAAUAGCUACUAUGAACAUCAUUCAUGGGUAAGACUCAAUGGAUAACCCAAUCCUCAAGUGAACGCAAGGUUCACAAGCAAGGCUCACAUAUCAAUCUCCUAGGGAUGCCAAACUGGUCGAUCCCCGAGUACGCCUGCGGAUAACAAGCGGCUAUCCGAGCAGCGAGCAGGGCUGCCUCUCUAGUGACCAAACUCCGGAGCACACAACCUGAGGGGAGCGACCCCACCAAGCGUAGACAGGCAAUGUGAGCAAGAUCAUCUCACGAGCAACAGCAACAACCCUUUGAGGGUAAUAUCAUCAUGGAGUCAAGGUAUACUUGUACCCAAUCUCAUAGUGUCUCAACUACACUAAUGUGAUCAUCUCAAGGAAACAUCAUCAAUGUCAAUCAUCAUAGUUUUUCUAACUAGAUGCCACUUGUCAUAGUUUUCUAAACUAGAUGCCACUCAUCAAUUUUGACUCAUUAUUAACACUAGUUUCAUCAUACUAGUUCUUUAGCAACAUAAGCAUUAAUCAUCUCAUAUAGGGUCUAGAUUCUCAACAUGUAGUUUUCAUCAACAAUCAUCAUGCAUACUAGAUCAUAACCAACCAAGCAAAAUAUAUUUAUUGAACUACUAGCAUGCAAGUAUAAGCAACAAUAAUCGUUUUCUAACCCUAUAUGAACAUAAGCAAGAUGCAAUAGAUCAACUUUAAACUUAGACAUAGAAGGUUGCCCGAUGACUUCGGGAUGGCACUCCCCCACCUUGGGUGAUGCCGAAAACACUCCGAGACGCGUUCUCGUGCUAGUCUUGUCGCCGCUUAAUUUCCGUUGGGUUAGCUCUAACCCCUUAGCACAACAAAUGGCGAUAUCUUCGCACCCACUUGUCGGAUCGACGAACCGUCUUCGCCUACGCGUUUAUAAGCAUAGCAAUUAGGUUUCUAACCCCUCAAAAGAGAUCAAACCCCUAUAUUUCCAAAAACCCCAAAUCUAACCCUAGGUUUAGCAACAAUAGAGAAAUCAUGGUUUCAAGCUCCAAAUUUGGGAUUGAACCUUCUCUUAAGCUUCAAUGGUUUCCAUUUAAACCAUUCUUAAGCAACAUAACCCUUUCUAAAACCUAGGUUUAGCAUCUAUGAGGAAAACCAUGGAUGCUAGCCUCAAUGUGAGCUAGAUCCAUCAUCUCUAAACUAUUGGCUUCAAUUGAACCAUUAAAGCCACAAAAACCACAAACCCUAGAAAUCAAUCAUUAGCGUUAGGCUUACUCUAGGGUUUGCCUCAAAGCAAUGCCCUAAGCCAAGAUGGAAUUAGCGUGAAGAAGCAAGCUCAAAACAUCUUCUCCUUCUUUCUCCUUCCUUUCUUCUUCUUUUCCUUCUUUUUCCUCUACUUUUUUUCCUUUUCUCUUCUUCUCCUUCUAUUCGGUUGAGAGAGAAGCGGAGAGAGUGAUGGGAGAGAAUGAGUGAGGUGAGAGAGAAGAGCGAGAGUAGAGGAAUAAUCCUCUAUUGUAAGACAAAAGCCUAAAAAAGGCCUCAUUUAACAGAUUUUUGCAAUUAACCGCAGUGUCGCGCGCCCUUGUACCCUACACGGCUUUCUUGUACCGGUACAAGCCCUGGAAUACCGCAGAGGCAAACCGAGCUGCGGUUUGCUUGCAGAGUCGUACGUACACGAGCCUUUUGUUACGAGUACAGCCCUGUAGCUUUCGGCAACCCGAUUCGGCAGCUCACUGUCGAUGGUUGUACCGGUACAGCCACAGCCUUGUCCGCGUACAGCACUCCAGAAUGCCUGAUUCUUGCUGUUUGUUUCUUUUCUGCCGUCAACAACGCUAAAACAUUUCCAACACUUUGGAACUCAUUUUUAACUCUUCCAAUCAUUCGAAACACGUAAUGUAACUGUCUUCAAUUCGGUUUAAUCGCCUCACCUUUCGGUCCAUUUGGCCAAAGUUAGCCAAUAUGUCGAAUUUCGAUAUGCUUACAUUCUCCACCCCUUAAAAGGAGAGGUUUCGUCCUCGAAACAACUAUCUGUAACAUCGAACUUAAACGCUUACCUCAAUCUCGAACAGGUGAGGAUGGUUCUGCUGUUCGAUUGAUCCUCAAGCUCCCAAGUGGCUUCACGAUCAUCGUGAUUGCUCACGACUUUAACAUAGGGAAUUUUCGAUUCCUUAACUUACGCCACCUCUCGAGCCAAAAUCUUUACCGGAACUUUGCAUUAGCUCAAAAUCAUCUGAAGCUCCGUGCUAUAUUAGCAGGCAUGUCGGGGUGUAAAUUACUUGCGAAGGCUUGAGACGUGGAAACACAUUGUGCACACCGCGCAAGCUAUCGGGGCAAUGCAAGUCGAUACGCCCACCGUCCACUCGCUCCAAGAUCUCGGUAGGGCCGAUAAACGAGGACUUAGCUUUUCCUCGCCACCCGAAACCUUUUUCCGCCUCGCAUCGGUGAAACCUUUAAGUAAUAACCCGGUCACCACCGCGACUCCAAAUCUCGCCGGCGGCCUAUUCCGCUAGCUUUGCUGUCUCGACUCGCCGUGAGCACUCUUUUGCGAGCAAGGCGUACUUUCUCCUCCGCUUCUCCGCAACACAUCCGGGCCAAUCGUACGCUCACCUACAUCGCUCCAAUGUACUAGGAGAUCGGGCUCAUAACCGUCAGUAGAGGGCUCGAACGGUGCCAUUCUCCACAUGUAUGAUAACUAUUGUUGUUAGGCGACUUCGGCCAUCGGUUAUGGUGAUCACACAAUUUCCUUUAUGAGUCCAUUGGACACACGCUCCACAUAUCCUCCAGAGUUUGUAAUAGUCCUCUCUGAUUGCCCAUCAGCUGAGGAUGAAACGCAGAUAGCUAAAAUCGAAGCCGUGGCAAGGUGCUUCCUGCAGGCUCUUUCCAGAAAUGCUUGAGUGAACGCGGGGGUCACGACCGACAGCUAUCGAUUUCGGCACCCCAUGCAGUCUCACUAUCUUUCAAGAUACACCUCGCUAACUUGUCCCCGACCACUGAGUAUGGAAUCGGAAGAAAUGGAGCGACUUCGUUAAUCGGUCACAAUGUACCCAAUUGCAUCGGUGGCGCCCUUUGGCGGAGGAAGCGACCACGACAGUCAUCGAGAUAAUCCUCCAUUUCGCAAACGGGGAUUGGUAGACUUUGAAGCUUCCCGCUGGGAUCGAUCUCGAGCCUUCACCUGUGGCAGGCUAGCACUUUGCCACAAAGGUUCCAAUGUCGCCUUUCUCCCGGCCAACCAAUAGUGCAUUUUAGGCCUUGCGGUACUCUUGGUGCCGCCCGGGUGGCCCGCAUAACCGAGGACCAAUCGACUCUCUGUAGAUAUAAGUGCGAAGCUCUUCAUCGAGCGGUACACACCUACGUUCCCGAAACCGAAGCGUACCAUCGCGUCAACUUGAACUCGCCAUCCAUGACCUUCCGUCGAUGUUUCGCAUGCACCUUUUGGAGUUCUAGGCGGGGGCCCGCAAGUUGCCAGAUCUUUAAUUCUCUCCAAAAGUCGGUUGGGACAACGAGUGCACCAUAACUGAGUCGGGACCUGGGAGCCAACCACUCUAGGUCAAUCGCUCCAUAUUCCAACCCUAGGAGGUUUGCCGGGUAUACAUCCGAAAGCAAGGUUCUUAACCGUCUUCUACUCAGCGCGAUCAGCGACCACAUUGCUUCCGGGGUGGUAAGGAUAUCCAACAUAUAAUCCUUAAGCAAUUGCCAACCCGCCCGCGUCGCAGUAUAAUAGCCUCUUCUGUUGACAGAUAUUCAGCUCUAUGGUCGGUGUAGUAUCUCGCAAUGAGCACCAUAUAGAUAAUGUCUCCAAAGCCUUCAAGAAAGAUCAUCGCCGCCAACCCUAGAUCGAUGAAUGGGUAGUUUUUCAUGCCUUUCAACUGACGGGAUGCAUAAAGCAUAACUUCGCGCUCCUGCAUCAGCACAACCCCAAGCCAAACUAUAGAAGCAUCAAUAAACGACUAGUCCUGAUGUCCUUCGCACCGGUAAAGGGAUUACCGGAUUCGAACGUUAACCUUUGACUUCAACUCUUUAAACCGCUACGGUCCACAUCUCGCCCUCACAAACUUGAUUGCCUUUUUGGGUCAAAGUCAGUAAGCGGAGUCACAUCUUCGAGAACCCUGCACAAACUCGAAAUAAACCCGCUACGCCCACAAAUUACGAUUACUCGGUAACAUUCUGCGGGCGCGGCCAAUUCUCAAUGCUAAACUUUUCUUCGGGUCAACGAGAAACUCAUCACCCCGAGCAAAUAACAUGCCGGAGAAACAGCAACUUCCCUGAGCAAAGUCGCAUUUUCUUUAACUUUGCCGUACACAUUUUCUUCUCCCGAAGAUUGAGUACCGUGCGCAAAUGCUCCGCGUGUCCUCGCGCUACGGAAUACCAACAUGUCGGUCUAUGAAGACUACGGACAAAUCGGUCUAACAGCACUCCUGGAACACUCGGUUCAUAAGCCUGAACGCUUGCCGGGCAUUUUGUGAGCCCAAACGGCAUCACGUAACUCGUCCAUUGUCCAUAACGCGUGCGAAACGCCUGUCUUCUGAACAUCUUCCGCUUGAUCUUUUAACUGGUGAUAGCCAGACUGAAGGUCAAUCUUAGAAUACACUCGCGGACCCCUUGCAGACUGAUCAAAAACAGUACGUCAUAGGGGUAGCGGGUAUGUUCUUACCGUGACUUUUCAACUUCGCGAUAAUCCACGCAGAAGUCGAAAAGAUCCAUCUUUCUUGCGCUACAAAUAAUACGGGGCACACCACGGCGAACGUCGGCCUCUAAUGAAUUCCUUGUCUAAAGAUCCUGCAAUUGAUCUCAUCAACUCCCUUAGCUCGGCCGGCGCAUGCGAUACGGGGCCUUGAGAAAUCGGCGCAGUGCCCGCGGGUUACCAAGUCAAUCAUUGAACUCGAUCUCCCACGUCCGGCGGCCAUACCCGGUAAUCAGCGGAAACACUCAGGGAAACUCCCGCACAACCCAACUCCUCGAGAGGAUUUGAACCCUCGGCAUCUCUACAACGGUCGCCAAUAGCUCAUGCAACGCGGUUCACAGCUCCUCGCUCUGUCGCCGAUACCAUCGGUGCAAGACGAGCUCGUUAAGCUCGAAUUAGGUGAACUACUCUUGUCCGGCCUCCGAAAUUGAUAACUCGAUCGGGCAAUCAUCAUACAUGGUCGCCGGCUACUUGAGAGCCAAUCCAUGCCCAAUAUACAUCAAAUUCCUUGUCCAACUUCUGAGCCCCAGACAAGUCGAGUCGCGCAUUAACCAGUCAUUCACUUGCAGCUGGACAUGCCAAACAUCUCUUCCUAAUCAUAAAGAUGAUCGCCCGGGCCAUCUCAACAUGCCACACGUGCUCCCAAAAGAUACUCAAUAUCAUGCGCUCGUGCAAAUGACGACUAAUGAAUCGAUGAUGAAGCGCCUGUAUCAAAUAAGCUCUAGCCUCGAAUCUUUAACCAAAUAUUAUACCUGCCACAACAAUUGCGCUUCGGCUUCGCCUCUGAAGGCUCUCAUUAUGAACGGGCUGCAGCAUACAUCUCCCGUCGGCCGCUAUGUGCAUGGCUCCUGUUGGGUGGCCGCCGCGCCCGCCGGUAGAUGCCUGCAGGAGGGCGGCAAAGCUAACGAGCUGAACGCGGGCGCGAUGCAGUCGAUAGGCGGCGAAGUCCUUCCUGAGGGACAAUUGCGUAUCUGAGCCACCGUUUGCCCGCAUCUUGAAGCACCUCCCUCGACGCGCUGCUCACAAAGCACCCGGCCGGUGGUCUCCGCCGCAGAAGAAAGAUCGCUCAGCCCACGACCCUUGGCCUGAGCAGGGCGGAGACUUCGGGGGCCUCUGGACGCUGAAUGACCACCCGAUCACCGCCCUGGCUUUUCUUGCUUUAUCGCUUGUCGUAAACUCACGGUCCGUCCGCUCGCAAGCGUUUCCCGUGCUGUCGACCCAUAUGGCGCGACUCUAGUGCUGCCGCCUAGUAGUAGGAACUUAAGGCAUUGCCACCAACUGAACACUCCGGGCCGAAGCUCGAACAAACAAUCCGCGGUCCUGCAUCGGUCGUCGCCACGUCCGGACACAGACUCAGGAGAUGAGUGAAACUCCCGCUCGUACUCCCGAACGACGCGAUUGCCUUGCGCUUGAGCUGUGCGAGUUCUUCCCGCAUCCUUUCUUGUCGCUGUCGGGGAAGAGUACUCGGCGAACAUCAGCUGCGGAACUGCCGCCCAAUCAAUCGGGGGAAGCUCCGGGAACCGGUCCUGCUUGACUCUCCUACCACCAAGUCCUGGCCGCUUUCUCGACAGCAAUGCGCGGCCAAGCUUCCCUUUGUCGCCUCUCCAAGGUGAAAUGUCCUCAACAAAGAGUAUCCGAUAGCUGUUCAGCACGACUUACCACCGUCGCCUGGUCCACCACCUCCUCGAAAGUAGGCGGCUGAAACUUCGUGAACCUCAAGUGCCCUUGUGAGCGCACAUUAGCCACGCUCACGCGCCUCCUCAGCUCGACUACGGGGUGGGUAGGGAGAACGGAACUCGGUAGAACUAUCCACCGGUGGGGCGUUGCGCCGCCACGCGAACCGAAACGCCACCCACGCCCGCCGCUAUCAGGGCGCGGCCGAAGCGCAGCGGACCGCGGCCUGAUCCGCUGCGCGCCGCCGCCCUGCAGCACUGCUGCUGCCAACAGCUCGCUGAACUCCUUAUCGAACCGUCCUGUGAGCGUCGCCGACUUGCGCUCGCCAAUCCUGCACCUCAAGUAGGCAGGAUUGGCACUGCGCCACUGCGAGGCACGGUGGCGGGACCUCUGGAGGAUAGGUGCCGGAGCGUCUACGCCACGUAGCGUACUCUUUGGUGCCAUAGCUCCUGACAACGCACAAUCAGUGGUUAAAUUCUUAACUCAACAACAUCGUCGUAAACACUGCAAAACAUAACGGCAUUAAAACAUCAAUCGGCGGUAAGCUUGCAAGUGUCUUAAUUCUCGAUCCUUCGCAUCUUUUGUCGGCGCCAACACAUCACCUUAAGCCAAAAUUAAGUUACCAGCUGAUCAUUCUCUACCAUAUAACUGAGAUACAACACCAAAUUCGAAACCCAAUCAAUUAGCUUCGUCCGUAUAGGUUUCAGUCGCACUCACGCCCUAAGACCUUUACGGUUAACAACGCUAGAGUUCCUAGGUAAUCUUAGACUUCUCUCUUUUGGCUUGCUCUUAACUCGCUUGAUACCACCAACUGUCACGCCGCCAGACCGCACCACCCGAAACGUACCAAUUUGGUCCGAUUCCUGAGGGGCGGCCGUGCGCGACGCCGAACGGACAGAGUCUCCCCUGUCCGCCAAGGCUAAAGCAACGGAUUGUGUACAACAAGUCCCCGGAAGAACAACUUGCAUUCAUACACAAUCAACAACGAAACGAAAGCACAAAGCAGUACAUAACCAAUUAGAGCAAGCGAUACAUAGUAAAAUCAUACAAGUAUACAAAAGAGAGAAACUUAGCUAUUUAAACCAUAAUUGAAACAUUUAACCUCUUUCGAAUAACAUUUUAAACUUUAAUCAUUUACAUACAACUUGCAUUUUCUUUUCUCAAAUGAAUAUACAUCAUGAACUCUCCAAAACCUCACCCUAUACAACAUCUACUCUCAAAACUAACCAAAAGUACGGGAUAGGUAUGCAAGUAGGUAAGGUAGGCUAUCUACCAAACAGCUAGGGCGCUAUGCCCUUACCACGAUCCAUCGCCGAAGGCCCGCUGUCCAGUGUACCUGUACCCCAAAGCCACACGGGGGUGAGAACUACGAAUAGUUCCCAGUGGGUUUCGGCCGCCGACUCCGCCGAUCUACCCACUAGGUCUCAAGCAGGCAUAGAGAGAUAUAUAUGCAAUAUAUGUAAAACUGAGCUAAACUGAAAGCAAGUAUGUAACAACUAUAUAAGCUAUGCCUCAAUCUGGGAAUCAUGAAUGAUGAACAAAUAAUAGAGCUGGGUAAGUAAGGCAACUAUCAACAUCUACAACGGCUAUCAUAGUAAGCUAUAAACAUGCUACUAGGUAGGCAAAAAGCUGAUAUGAACAAUAAAUAGCUACUAUGAACAUCAAUCAUGGGUAA